Molecule: non-coding RNA, 74 nt
Organism: Podarcis lilfordi (Lilford's wall lizard)
Lineage: Eukaryota; Metazoa; Chordata; Lepidosauria; Squamata; Lacertidae
Source: the annotation of a GenBank genome assembly
CGUGCUGUGAUGAAACACACUAUGCCGUCUGAUUUUGCUUCCGUGCGGAAAACCAGAGGCUGUUUCUGAGCCUG